RNAcentral lists this ribosomal RNA (662 nucleotides) under Veronica umbrosa. Its description in RNAcentral is "eukaryotic LSU rRNA". The stretch from base 282 to 437 matches the Rfam family "5.8S ribosomal RNA". The record is from RNAcentral. Lineage: Eukaryota; Viridiplantae; Streptophyta; Magnoliopsida; Lamiales; Plantaginaceae.
GCUGCCCGCGACGUCGCGAGAAGUCCACUGAACCUUAUCAUUUAGAGGAAGGAGAAGUCGUAACAAGGUUUCCGUAGGUGAACCUGCGGAAGGAUCAUUGUCGAUGCCUGUAAAUCAGACCGCGAACACGUGUUAAUAAGCUCCGUCCGCUUAGCGCUUGCGCUUAGCGGGCUAACGAACCCCGGCGCGGCAAGCGCCAAGGAAAACUUAAAGGAAGCGUCGUCCCCGAGCGCCCGUUCGCGGUGCGUCUUGGGUCUGCGGCGUCCCUCAAAUGUCUAAACGACUCUCGGCAACGGAUAUCUCGGCUCUCGCAUCGAUGAAGAACGUAGCGAAAUGCGAUACUUGGUGUGAAUUGCAGAAUCCCGUGAACCAUCGAGUCUUUGAACGCAAGUUGCGCCCGAAGCCUUUUGGCCGAGGGCACGCCUGCCUGGGCGUCACGCAUCGCGUCGCCCCCUCCAAAAUCCCUAGGGACUUGCGAGCGGGAGCGGAAAAUGGUCUCCCGUGUGCCUUCGUGCGCGCGGCUGGCCUAAAUGAGAUCCUGCAUCGACGGAUGUCACGACCGUGGUGGUUGAAAACUCAAUCUUGCUGUCGUGCGCGCCUCGUCGUUUGCUAGGCAUCGAUUCUAUCCAACGGCGCGCUUCGCGUGCCUCCGACCGCGACCC